This 344-nucleotide long non-coding RNA is filed under the name Lathyrus oleraceus (garden pea). RNAcentral describes it as "Pisum sativum (pea) long non-coding RNA (PSAT_LNC029935)". The record is from RNAcentral. Lineage: Eukaryota; Viridiplantae; Streptophyta; Magnoliopsida; Fabales; Fabaceae.
AAACUUCAUGCCUGUCAGCAUCGGCAGAAAUAAGGAAAAGUGAUAAAUGAGGAAGCACGCGGGCCAACGACCUAUGCUGGGGAUAAUAAGCCACGAGCAUACCAUCCCUACUUGGUCCAUUGUGAACGAACAAUUUGCGCUCAGCUGGGGAUUUUUUUUCUCUUUUUUUUUUGCUUUUCUUGAACCCCGAAAACCUUUUAAUCUUCAUUUCCAUCUCCGCCCGACGGAAACCCUUCCUCCAAUAUCGCACUACUGGGGAAUGUUGUUAACUCAAAAUCACGAUGCCGAACUCCUCAGAGUAACAUCUUCACCAUCCGGCGAAACCAACUCUCAAAGGGUAACCA